This is a ribosomal RNA of Lepisosteus oculatus (spotted gar), 119 nucleotides long. Lineage: Eukaryota; Metazoa; Chordata; Actinopteri; Semionotiformes; Lepisosteidae. The record is from Ensembl.
UUCAGCAGCCAUAUCACCCUGCAACUCACAACUGGCAACCCACUGAAGCUAAGCAGGUGUGAGCCUGGUCAGUACCUGGAUGGGAGACCUCCUGGGAAAAACUAAGGUUGUUGCUGGAA